UACGGAGGAUGCGAGCGUUAUCCGGAUUUAUUGGGUUUAAAGGGUGCGCAGGCGGCGCGCUAAGUCAGCGGUGAAAGUUUGCAGCUUAACUGUAAAAUUGCCAUUGAUACUGGUGUGCUUGAAUAUGGUAGAGGUAGGCGGAAUGUGUAGUGUAGCGGUGAAAUGCUUAGAUAUUACACAGAACACCCAUUGCGAAGGCAGCUUACUAUGCCAUUAUUGACGCUGAGGCACGAAAGCGUGGGGAGCGAGCAGGAUUAGAUACCCUGGUAGUCCACGCCGUAAACGAUGAUUACUGGUUGUGCGCGAUACACAGUGCGCGACUGAGGGAAACCAUUAAGUAAUCCACCUGGGGAGUACGUUCGCAAGAAUGAA
RNAcentral lists this ribosomal RNA (372 nucleotides) under uncultured bacterium. RNAcentral describes it as "bacterial SSU rRNA". It matches the Rfam family "Bacterial small subunit ribosomal RNA", at positions 524 to 898 of the family's 1533-position model. The record is from RNAcentral.